UUUAUAUUGAUGCACCCAUUUACAUCAAGGGUUGUAAGUGUAUUGGAGCAGAAGCUAGAAAGCACCUCUAAGCACCUGUCAGAGACCCCAAGUAUCCCAAACAAACUUAAUAAUUCAAGAGACCUGCAGCCUUGAGCUAUUGCUAUGACCCCAACAUCACUGAUUUGUACACACCAUGUCAAAUUGAGAGACACCAGAUUUUUGCACAUCGAUAUACAAGAAAGUCCAUCAUCUGUCAGAUUCUGAGCACCACAGAGAUCCAGGAAUCUAAGAUGAGGUAGACGAGAUAUCAUCUUAUAAGCUUCGUCUGUUAAG
RNAcentral lists this unclassified non-coding RNA (315 nucleotides) under Hevea brasiliensis (rubber tree). The record is from RNAcentral. Lineage: Eukaryota; Viridiplantae; Streptophyta; Magnoliopsida; Malpighiales; Euphorbiaceae.